Molecule: non-coding RNA, 103 nt
Organism: Podarcis lilfordi (Lilford's wall lizard)
Lineage: Eukaryota; Metazoa; Chordata; Lepidosauria; Squamata; Lacertidae
Source: the annotation of a GenBank genome assembly
GUCUACGGCCAUACUACCCUGAACAUGCCAGAUCAUGUCUGAUCUUGGAAGCUAAGCAGGGUCAGGCCUGGCUAGUACCUGGAUGGGAAAGAGGGCGUAUGCG